This is a long non-coding RNA of Rhinopithecus roxellana (golden snub-nosed monkey), 358 nucleotides long. RefSeq lists it as uncharacterized. The record is from RefSeq and is a predicted model, not a curated record. The transcript is spliced from 2 exons. NCBI's taxonomy places the organism in Eukaryota, Metazoa, Chordata, Mammalia, Primates, Cercopithecidae.
AGUUCCUCCUCCACGCUUUAGGCCGGGCCACUCCUUCUGCCACGUCUGCGUUUCGGGAACCGCUCAUGCGCCACUUUCAUCUUCCCAUGAUGGCCGCCGCUUGGGCGCCUCUGCUAAAUCACCCUGCACUGGUUGGAUCAGCUGACACCACCUAGACCGGUAACCUGGCUCAAUCAGUUCUGCCAUCCCACCCAGGAACAGAAAACAGCAAGAAAACCUCACUUCGACUCCCUAUGAGUCCAUCUUCAACCUGACCAAUCAGCACUCCCCACUUCACAAGCUCCUACUCGCCAAAUUAUCUGCUCCUCGAAUGCUCAGGGAGACUAAUUUGGUAAUAAUAAAACUCUGGUUUCCCACA